AUGGCCAGCCACUUCGUCCUCAGCACCGGCGCCAAGAUCCCGUCGGUCGGGCUCGGCACCUGGCAGUCCGAGCCCGGCGUUGUCGGCGACGCCGUCUACGCCGCCGUCAAGGCUGGUUACCGGCACAUCGACUGUGCUCAGGUCUACGGCAACGAGAAAGAGAUCGGAUUCGCCCUCAAGAAGGUGUUCGACGAGGGCAUAACCAGCCGGCAAGAUCUCUUCAUCACCUCCAAGCUAUGGUGCACUAACCACGCGCCGGAGGACGUGCCGGUGGCGCUGGACGGCACGCUCCAGGACCUGCAGACCGACUACGUGGACCUUUACCUCGUACACUGGCCGAUCCGGAUGAAGAAGGGCGCCGGCUUCAGCCCGGAGAACGUGAUCCCGGCCGACAUACCGGCGACGUGGGCGGCGAUGGAGGGCGUCUACGACUCCGGCAAGGCCCGCGCCAUCGGGGUCAGCAACUUCUCGUGCAAGAAGCUGGAGGAUCUGCUCGCCGUCGCGCGCGUGCCGCCGGCGGCCAACCAGGUGGAGUGCCACCCCGUCUGGCAGCAGGCCAAGCUCCGGGACCUCUGCGCGUCCAAAGGGAUACACUUCUCCGCCUACUCGCCGCUGGGCUCGCCGGGGACGUUCAAAGCAUUCACCGUGCUGGAGCACCCGGUGGUGGUGUCGACGGCGGAGAAGCUGGGGAAGACGCCGGCGCAGGUGGCGCUGCGGUGGGGGAUCCAGUCGGGGCACAGCGUGCUGCCCAAGAGCACCCACGAGGAGAGGAUCAAGGCCAACUUCGACGUCUUCGACUGGUCCAUUCCGAGCGACCUGUUCGCCGGCUUCUCUGAGAUCGAACAAACAAGGCUGAUCCGCGGGAAAUUCUGGACUCACCCGGAAGGCCUGUUCAAAUCCGAAGAAGAGAUCUGGGAUGGUGAAAUAUAG
RNAcentral lists this ribosomal RNA (930 nucleotides) under Triticum aestivum (bread wheat). Its description in RNAcentral is "partial small subunit ribosomal RNA". The record is from RNAcentral. Lineage: Eukaryota; Viridiplantae; Streptophyta; Magnoliopsida; Poales; Poaceae.